This 486-nucleotide ribosomal RNA is filed under the name uncultured bacterium. RNAcentral's name for it is "partial 16S ribosomal RNA". It matches the Rfam family "Bacterial small subunit ribosomal RNA", at positions 29 to 507 of the family's 1533-position model. The record is from RNAcentral.
AUUGAACGCUGGCGGCAUGCCUUACACAUGCAAGUCGAACGGCAGCACGGGUGCUUGCACCUGGUGGCGAGUGGCGGACGGGUGAGUAAUACAUCGGAACAUGUCCUGUAGUGGGGGAGAGCCCGGCGAAAGCCGGAUUAAUACCGCAGACGAACUACGGAUGAAAGCGGGGGACCUUCGGGCCUCGCGCUAUAGGGUUGGCCGAUGGCUGAUUAGCUAGUUGGUGGGGUAAAGGCCUACCAAGGCGACGAUCAGUAGCUGGUCUGAGAGGACGACCAGCCACACUGGGACUGAGACACGGCCCAGACUCCUACGGGAGGCAGCAGUGGGGAAUUUUGGACAAUGGGCGAAAGCCUGAUCCAGCAAUGCCGCGUGUGUGAAGAAGGCCUUCGGGUUGUAAAGCACUUUUGUCCGGAAAGAAAUCCUUGGCCCUAAUACGGUCGGGGGAUGACGGUACCGGAAGAAUAAGCACCGGCUAACUACGUG